Molecule: transfer RNA, 73 nt
Filed under: Felis catus (domestic cat)
Lineage: Eukaryota; Metazoa; Chordata; Mammalia; Carnivora; Felidae
Also listed under: 3 other names
Rfam family: tRNA
About the family: Transfer RNA (tRNA) molecules are approximately 80 nucleotides in length.
Source: Rfam by way of RNAcentral
ACCUGACUAUCACAGUUGGUAGAGCAUGUGACUCUUGAUCUCAGGGUCAUGAGUUCAAGUCACAUGUUGGGUG